Molecule: ribosomal RNA, 254 nt
Filed under: uncultured bacterium
Lineage: Bacteria
Description: partial 16S ribosomal RNA
Rfam family: Bacterial small subunit ribosomal RNA
Source: RNAcentral
UACGAAGGGGGCGAGCGUUUGUUCGGAUUUACUGGGCGUAAAGGGCGCGCAGGCGGCGCAUUUUGUCAGGCGUGAAAGCCCCGGGCUUAACCUGGGAACUGCGUUUGAUACUGGCGAUCUUGAGUCCGGGAGAGGUGAGUGGAACUCCGAGUGUAGAGGUGAAAUUCGUAGAUAUUCGGAAGAACACCAGUGGCGAAGGCGGCUCACUGGCCCGGUACUGACGCUGAGGUGCGAAAGCGUGGGGAGCAAACAGG